CGAUUUGGUAUCUUAAGAAGUGA
This 23-nucleotide non-coding RNA is filed under the name Mus musculus (house mouse). The record is from RNAcentral. Lineage: Eukaryota; Metazoa; Chordata; Mammalia; Rodentia; Muridae.